RNAcentral lists this transfer RNA (64 nucleotides) under Armandia sp. GK-2021. RNAcentral describes it as "tRNA-Lys". The record is from RNAcentral. Lineage: Eukaryota; Metazoa; Annelida; Polychaeta; Opheliidae.
UUUUAGGAAGCUUUGCUGAAGCGGUGGGCUUUUAACCCGAAGAAGCCUUAUAGGCUCUAAAAUC